RNAcentral lists this ribosomal RNA (478 nucleotides) under uncultured bacterium. RNAcentral's name for it is "partial 16S ribosomal RNA". It matches the Rfam family "Bacterial small subunit ribosomal RNA", at positions 28 to 523 of the family's 1533-position model. The record is from RNAcentral.
GACGAACGCUGGCGGCGUGCUUAACACAUGCAAGUCGAACGGUAAGGCCCUUCGGGGUACACGAGUGGCGAACGGGUGAGUAACACGUGGGUGAUCUGCCCUGCACUUCGGGGUAAGCCUGGGAAACUGGGUCUAAUACCGGAUAGGACCCUGGGAUGCAUGUCCUGGGGUGGGAAGCUUUUGCGGUGUGGGAUGGGCCCGCGGCCUAUCAGCUUGUUGGUGGGGUGAUGGCCUACCAAGGCGACGACGGGUAGCCGGCCUGAGAGGGUGACCGGCCACACUGGGACGGAGAUACGGCCCAGACUCCUACGGGAGGCAGCAGUGGGGAAUAUUGCACAAUGGGCGCAAGCCUGAUGCAGCGACGCCGCGUGAGGGAUGACGGCCUUCGGGUUGUAAACCUCUUUCAGCACCGACGAAGCGCAAGUGACGGUAGGUGCAGAAGAAGGACCGGCCAACUACGUGCCAGCAGCCGCCGCCG